Molecule: ribosomal RNA, 1309 nt
Filed under: metagenome
Description: SSU rRNA
Rfam family: Eukaryotic small subunit ribosomal RNA
Source: RNAcentral
GCUUGUUGUGCGAUAAAUCAUUCAAGUUUCUGCCCUAUCAGCUUUGGAUGGUAGUGUAUUGGACUACCAUGGCAGUCACGGGUAACGGAGAAUUAGGGUUCGAUUCCGGAGAGGGAGCCUGAGAAACGGCUACCACAUCUACGGAAGGCAGCAGGAGCGAAAAUUGCCCAAUCCCGACACGGGGAGGCAGUGACGAGAAAUAACAACUCUUGGUUAUUCUAAGAAGUGUAAUGAGGAUAAUUUAAAACCCUUACCGAAAGCAAUUGGAGGGCAAGUCUGGUGCCAGCAGCCGCGGUAAUUCCAGCUCCAAUAGCGUAUAUUAAAGUUGUUGCAGUUAAAAAGCUCGUAGUUGAAGUUCUGGCUGCUUGACCCUCGAGCUCUGUAGCCGAGGGCUCAGCAGUCAUCCGCUUGCAAAUAUAUGUUCGCCUUUAACCGGGCGGCUAUAUGAGUAAGCAUUUUACCUUGAGAAAAACAGAGUGUUCCAGGCAGGUUUGUCCGGAAUGCAUUAGCAUGGAAUAAUAGAAUAUGACUGAAGUCGAUUUAUUGGUUUGAGGCUUUAGUAAUGAUUAAUAGGAACAGUCGGGGGCAUUGGUACCUGUCAGUCAGAGGUGAAAUUCUAGGAUUUGACAAAGACUAACAAAUGCGAAAGCAUUUGCCAAGGAUGUUUUCAUUAAUCAAGAACGAAGGUUAGGGGAUCAAAGACGAUCAGAUACCGUCCUAGUCUUAACUAUAAACUAUACCGACUCGGAUUCAGAUGAAUCAUAAAGUUCAUUUGGGACCGUAGGAGAAAUCAAAGUUAUUGGGUUCUGGGGGAAGUAUGGUCGCAAGGCUGAAACUUAAAGGAAUUGACGGUUUUUGCACAACCAUGGAGUGGAGUCUGCGGCUUAAUUUGACCCAACACUGGGAAACUCAUCAGGGCAAGAAGAUUGUAGGAUUGACAGAUUGAGAGUUCUUUCUUGAUUGGUCUAGUGGUGGUGCAUGGCCGUUCUUAGUUGGUGGAGUGAUUUGUCUGGUUAAUUCCGUUAACGAACGAGACCUUAACCUGCUAACUAGUACACCGAUGACAAAUCGGUGAUACUUCUUAGAGGGACUAUGUGAUGUAAUCACAUGGAAGUUUGAGGCAAUAACAGGUCUGUGAUGCCCUUAGAUGCCCUGAGCUGCACGCGUACUACAAUGGUGCUUUCAUCGAGCUUUUCCUGAUCCGAAAGGAUUUGGGUAAUCUUUUUAGUGAGCACCGUGCUUGGGAUAGAUCUUUGUAAUUAUGGAUCUUGAACUAGGAAUUCCUAGUAAGCACGUGUCAUCAGCACGU